GGUCUGACCUGCCCACUGAAAUUUUUAAAUGGCCGCAGUAUUCUAACUGKGCAAAGGUAGCAUAAUCAUUAGUCUUUUAAUUGAAGGCUGGUAUGAACGGUUGGACGAGGUAUAAGCUGUUUCAUAUAAAUUUAUAGUAGAAUUUUAUAUUUUAGUCAAAAAGCUAAAAUAUUAUUAAAAGACGAGAAGACCCUAUAAAUCUUUAUAUUUUUUAUUAUUUAAGUUUUUUGGGUUGAUUUUAUUUUUAUAGUAAAAAAUAUUUUGUUGGGGUGAUGUUAAAAUUUAAUGAACUUUUAAUAAUUUAAAAUCAUUAAUUUAUGAUUUAUUGAUCCAUUAUUAGUGAUUAUAAGAUUAAGUUACUUUAGGGAUAACAGCGUAAUUUUUUUGGAGAGUUCAUAUCGAUAAAAAAGUUUGCGACCUCGAUGUUGGAUUAAGAUAUAAUUUKAGGUGUAGCCGCUUAAAU
This 463-nucleotide ribosomal RNA is filed under the name Zeugodacus depressus (pumpkin fruit fly). RNAcentral describes it as "partial large subunit ribosomal RNA". Lineage: Eukaryota; Metazoa; Arthropoda; Insecta; Diptera; Tephritidae. The record is from RNAcentral.